GCUCCUGGCUCAGGAUGAACGCUAGCUACAGGCUUAACACAUGCAAGUCGAGGGGCAGCAUGGACCCAGCUUUGCUGGGUUUGAUGGCGACCGGCGCACGGGUGAGUAACGCGUAUCCAACCUGCCCUUUACUCCGGGAUAGUCUCCUGAAAGGGAGUUUAAUACCGGAUGUGUUUGUCUUUCCGCAUGGGAGCGACAAAUAAAGAUUAAUUGGUAAAGGAUGGGGAUGCGUCCCAUUAGCUUGUUGGG
This 249-nucleotide ribosomal RNA is filed under the name uncultured bacterium. RNAcentral's name for it is "partial 16S ribosomal RNA". It matches the Rfam family "Bacterial small subunit ribosomal RNA", at positions 15 to 253 of the family's 1533-position model. The record is from RNAcentral.